This 21-nucleotide non-coding RNA is filed under the name Arabidopsis thaliana (thale cress). The record is from RNAcentral. Lineage: Eukaryota; Viridiplantae; Streptophyta; Magnoliopsida; Brassicales; Brassicaceae.
UAAUUUCUCAGGGACAAAUCU